Molecule: long non-coding RNA, 598 nt
Filed under: Aquila chrysaetos chrysaetos
Lineage: Eukaryota; Metazoa; Chordata; Aves; Accipitriformes; Accipitridae
Description: lncRNA (ENSACCG00020016983.1)
Source: RNAcentral
CCUGCAGGCUGGAACACUUCUGCAAGGAUGGUGUGAAAGCAGCACCCACUUUGGAGAAAUUCUACAAGCAACUGCCUGUAAUUCAGGGGCCAAGUUCUUGUAAUGAAGAGACAUUGGAAAGCUAUGACUUAAAAAACCAAAAUGAGCCUGGUGUAGAUGUAAAGCACUUUGGUGAGGUGGUGUUUCCAGCUGGCACAUAACCCUGCGAGGCAGCUCCUGUAUGUAACCACGUAGCAGUUGUGGAAACCAUCCUGUGGCAACCUGCUCUCCCCAGGUACCAUGCUUAAAAUGGAGUCCAGCACUCAAACCGUUCUAUGGAUCUGGACUUUGGUGACCAUUUCCCAGGAGCAGAGCGUGGCUGAAAUUGGGGCACUUCACAGCAAUUUAAACUCCAGAACAUCAAUGAAAACCUCCUGGACAAUUUCCUGCUGAAGUCGCUGAGACCCCUCCACCAUCGGGGCUUUGUGAAGGGGACCUGCCGUGUUUGGGGUGCCGUUGGCAGCACAAAGGUGAUGAGAGUAGGGCUGGGUCCCUUUUAAUCAGAGCUGUCAAGCUCUGGAUGCCCUGCUGUGCUGCUGAUCGCCCUUGUGCCCUUUUU